UACGAAGGGGGCUAGCGUUGCUCGGAAUCACUGGGCGUAAAGCGCACGUAGGCGGCUUACUAAGUCAGGGGUGAAAUCCUGGAGCUCAACUCCAGAACUGCCUUUGAUACUGGUGAGCUUGAGUCCGGAAGAGGUGAGUGGAACUGCGAGUGUAGAGGUGAAAUUCGUAGAUAUUCGCAAGAACACCAGUGGCGAAGGCGGCUCACUGGUCCGGUACUGACGCUGAGGUGCGAAAGCGUGGGGAGCAAACGGG
This 253-nucleotide ribosomal RNA is filed under the name uncultured bacterium. RNAcentral describes it as "partial 16S ribosomal RNA". It matches the Rfam family "Bacterial small subunit ribosomal RNA", at positions 524 to 776 of the family's 1533-position model. The record is from RNAcentral.